RNAcentral lists this ribosomal RNA (255 nucleotides) under Anoxybacillus sp. ST4. RNAcentral's name for it is "partial 23S ribosomal RNA". It matches the Rfam family "Bacterial large subunit ribosomal RNA", at positions 849 to 1102 of the family's 2925-position model. Lineage: Bacteria; Bacillati; Bacillota; Bacilli; Caryophanales; Anoxybacillaceae. The record is from RNAcentral.
CUGGUUCUCCCCGAAAUAGCUUUAGGGCUAGCCUCGAGUGAAGAGUCUUGGAGGUAGAGCACUGAUUGGGCUAGGGGCCCUCAUCGGGUUACCGAACUCAGUCAAACUCCGAAUGCCAAUGACUUAUGCUCGGGAGUCAGACUACGAGUGAUAAGAUCCGUGGUCAAGAGGGAAACAGCCCAGAUCACCAGCUAAGGUCCCAAAGUGUACGUUAAGUGGAAAAGGAUGUGGAGUUGCUUAGACAACCAGGAUGUU